This 324-nucleotide ribosomal RNA is filed under the name uncultured Chloroflexota bacterium. RNAcentral describes it as "bacterial SSU rRNA". It matches the Rfam family "Bacterial small subunit ribosomal RNA", at positions 28 to 351 of the family's 1533-position model. The record is from RNAcentral. Lineage: Bacteria; Bacillati; Chloroflexota.
GAUAAACGCUGGCGGUGUGCAUGAGACAUGCAAGUCGAACGAAUGAACCCGGGCUUGCCUGGGUUCGUUAGUGGCGAACGGCUGAGUAACGCGUAGGUGACCUGCCCGGAAGUGGGGAAUAACUGCCCGAAAGGGUGGCUAAUACCGCAUGUGGCCAUACGUUCAUUCGUAUGACCAAAGCCGCAAGGCGCUUCCGGAGGGGCCUGCGUUCGAUUAGCUCGUUGGUGGGGUAACGGCUCACCAAGGCGACGAUCGAUAGGUGGUCUGAGAGGAUGAUCACCCAGACUGGGACUGAGACACGGCCCAGACUCCUACGGGAGGCAG